Molecule: ribosomal RNA, 699 nt
Filed under: uncultured bacterium
Lineage: Bacteria
Description: bacterial SSU rRNA
Rfam family: Bacterial small subunit ribosomal RNA
Source: RNAcentral
UCAUCCAUUCCGCGUGAGUGAAGAAGGCCUUCGGGUUGUAAAGCUCUUUCGCAAGGGAAGAAAAUUAUGAUCGAAUAAAUCAUGAGGUUGACGGUACCUUGAUAAGAAGCACCGGCUAACUACGUGCCAGCAGCCGCGGUAAUACGUAGGGUGCGAGCGUUAAUCGGAAUUACUGGGCGUAAAGCGUGCGCAGGCGGUUUUGUAAGUCGGAUGUGAAAUCCCCGGGCUCAACCUGGGAACUGCGUUCGAAACUGCAAGGCUAGAGUGUGUCAGAGGGGGGUAGAAUUCCACGUGUAGCAGUGAAAUGCGUAGAGAUGUGGAGGAAUACCAAUGGCGAAGGCAGCCCCCUGGGAUAACACUGACGCUCAUGCACGAAAGCGUGGGGAGCAAACAGGAUUAGAUACCCUGGUAGUCCACGCCCUAAACGAUGUCAACUAGUUGUUGGUAGAGUAAAAUCUAUGAGUAACGUAGCUAACGCGUGAAGUUGACCGCCUGGGGAGUACGGUCGCAAGAUUAAAACUCACAGGAAUUGACGGGGGCCCGCACAAGCGGUGGAUUAUGUGGAUUAAUUCGAUGCAACGCGAAAAACCUUAACUGGCCUUGACAUGUACCGAAUUGAGCAGAGAUGUUCAAGUUGUUCGAAGAAGAACGGUAACACCGGUGCUGUUUGGUGUCGUCAGUCGUGUCUGAGAUGUGGGU